This is a microRNA precursor of Myotis lucifugus (little brown bat), 75 nucleotides long. It matches the Rfam family "mir-9223 microRNA precursor family". NCBI's taxonomy places the organism in Eukaryota, Metazoa, Chordata, Mammalia, Chiroptera, Vespertilionidae. The record is from Rfam.
GGUGGUUCUCCGGUGAUGCACCCUAGAAUUGGGCUCCCUCAUCUCUGGUUCCAGGUGCAUCACCCAAGAACCACA